GAAAAAGAUUGAUUGAAAACAGCGCCCAAAAACAGUUGACAAUCACUGUUUUGACGUCAUACAUGAAGGUUAGUCUAAGCAGUCUUCUCUCACUUUCAUUUACGACCAAAACAGCACACGUGCAGCUGCUCACUGCUCAGUGUUGGUUCAAUUUGGUCCAGUGUACAGUACAUAAACAUAUCGUUUCGUUCAUCGCCACUUGAAUUAUAGUGUCAACCAAGUUUACCUCGCUAUGAAGGAUAAAAAGAUUAGCAAGCUUGUUGCUGAUUCAGCAGCGUUCAUCAGAAAUGCGCAAAUGCAGGAUGUUGCUGAUGUCGUUUACACGGUUAGGGAUGUCGUUGACGAAAUUAGAGAUCAAGCUACAAAGCAGAGACUCAGAGUUUUACCUUAUGAAAUAAAAAUGAUGGAACCAUCACCGGUGGUGAUGGACAAUGAAUGAAUGUGAACAAUCGUAAUAUUAUCAAUAUUAGACAGACGGUGUUCGGUUAAUGUAUUCUGAUGAGUAUGGCGCAAAAGCUUGACUGGGUGAAUUCACUAUGCAUUGGCACGUAAAAGUAAUUGUUAAACAAUAAUAGUUGCUAAGAUGUGCGAGUCCCGAUAGAUGUUCAACCACUCUAGCGGGAGAAACCGUAAGUCACACCAGGUAACCGAGAUUAGACGUCCGUGAAAGUGCACCUGGUGGUGAAUGUUGUAAACUCGAUCCAAUCGUUAUCGACGUCGCCACCCACCAAAUCCACCUAUAAGGGAGACACUGGAGACGAAGAUGCGGAACAUUAUUGGAAUUUGAUGACGUCAAUUCCUCUAUUAGGUAGAAGUGGGUGUCUCUCGCCGCUUCUACCUGAAGAGUCCCAAAGUGGACGAAGAAAGUGGUCGAAAUUGGUCACUGCAGAGAGACGGGAAUUCAAGGCAAAGUCUCUGUGUCCAAGUAGUGGGAUACGACUAUUGGCUUUGUGAAUGGCCACAAGCAAAGUCAUGUAGUGGUCUGAUGGGCGAAUGUCCGCGAAGGAACAGCGGCGAAAGGGGCCUGCAGAGACGGACAGGUCUCUUUCUGAAGCCGGCUUGAGUCAACACUAAUCAAUUCAGCCGCAAUCACGCUGUAGGAUUCGGCUGAGAUUACUGUUCAAGUCACCCUGCAAAGUCCAGUCUCAGCGGAUGCUUUGGACGAAGGACACAAGAGCAAUUUAGAAUAAGGUCAAUUAGAUAAUAAGUUUGCGACCCGAAGUUCGAGUAGGGGAAAAGAGAAAAGGCUUACGUUUCGUAAAGCGUAAGCCUUUUUUCUUUUC
RNAcentral lists this long non-coding RNA (1283 nucleotides) under Daphnia magna. Its description in RNAcentral is "uncharacterized LOC123471426". Lineage: Eukaryota; Metazoa; Arthropoda; Branchiopoda; Diplostraca; Daphniidae. The record is from RNAcentral.